Molecule: ribosomal RNA, 426 nt
Filed under: uncultured prokaryote
Description: bacterial SSU rRNA
Rfam family: Bacterial small subunit ribosomal RNA
Source: RNAcentral
UGGGGAAUUUUCCGCAAUGGGCGAAAGCCUGACGGAGCAAUACCGCGUGCGGGAGGAAGGCCUUUGGGUCGUAAACCGCUUUUCUCAGGGAAGAAGCACUGACGGUACCUGAGGAAAAAGCCUCGGCUAACUCCGUGCCAGCAGCCGCGGUAAUACGGAGGAGGCAAGCGUUAUCCGGAAUUAUUGGGCGUAAAGCGUCCGCAGGUGGUGUUGUAAGUCUGCUGUCAAAGACGGAAGCUCAACUUCCGAGCGGCGGUGGAAACUGCAAAACUAGAGUACAGUAGGGGUAGAGGGAAUUCCCAGUGUAGCGGUGAAAUGCGUAGAGAUUGGGAAGAACACCGGUGGCGAAAGCGCUCUGCUGGGCUGUAACUGACACUGAGGGACGAAAGCUAGGGGAGCGAAUGGGAUUAGAUACCCCCGUAGUCC